This 515-nucleotide ribosomal RNA is filed under the name uncultured bacterium. Its description in RNAcentral is "partial 16S ribosomal RNA". It matches the Rfam family "Bacterial small subunit ribosomal RNA", at positions 28 to 523 of the family's 1533-position model. The record is from RNAcentral.
GAUGAACGCUGGCGGCGUGCCUAAUACAUGCAAGUCGAGCGAAUGGAUUUAGAGCUUGCUCUUAUGAAGUUAGCGGCGGACGGGUGAGUAACACGUGAGUAACCUGCCCAUAAGACUGGGAUAACUCCGGGAAACCGGGGCUAAUACCGGAUAACAUUUUGAACCGCAUGGUUCGAAAUUGAAAGGCGGCUUCGGCUGUCACUUAUGGAUGGACCCGGGUCGCAUUAGCUAGUUGGUUAGGUAACGGCUCACCAAGGCAACGAUGCGUAGCCGACCUGAGAGGGUGAUCGGCCACACUGGGACUGAGACACGGCCCAGACUCCUACGGGAGGCAGCAGUAGGGAAUCUUCCGCAAUGGACGAAAGUCUGACGGAGCAACGCCGCGUGAGUGAUGAAGGCUUUCGGGUCGUAAAACUCUGUUGUUAGGGAAGAACAAGUGCUAGUUGAAUAAGCUGGCACCUUGACGGUACCUAACCAGAAAGCCACGGCUAACUACGUGCCAGCCGCCGCGGUAA